GAAAGAGAUGCUCUGUAAAAAAUUAGACAUGAAAGGUUGUCCCCAUGUGUGUGUGUUUGUAUGUUUGUUUCUUCAUUGGUAUCAUUCAUGUGUGUGUGUGUGUGUGUGUGUGUCCUUAGAGAAGAGGAAGUUCUUUCGUUCUAUCUUUUUAUCUCGUCUCUAGUCUCUACACCUUUGCCUCCGUGGUCUAGUGGUUAGCGUGCCUAGCUAUGAAUCCAUGGGCGUGGGUUCAAAUCCCAGCCCGGACAGUCGGCAUGCAGCUCACCCAUCUCCUCAUCACUCCCAGGUCUUUCUCUGCCUCUGUGGUGGAUAGUGGAGUGUUUCCCAUGUGGUAUUGGUGUGCUGGAUAUCCCUUCACUGGUAGCCUGUUAACAUACACUCCCAGGUCUUUCUCUGCCUCUGUGGUGGAUAGUGGAGUGUUUCUCAUGUGGUAUUGGUGUGCUGGAUAUCCCUUCACUGGUAGCCUGGUAACAUACACUCCCAGGUCUUUCUCUGCCUCUGUGGUGGAUAGUGGAGUGUUUCCCAUGUGGUAUUGGUGUGCUGGAUAUCCCUUCACUGGUAGCCUGGUAACAUACACUCCCAGGUCUUUCUCUGCCUCUGUGGUGGAUAGUGGAGUGUUUCCCAUGUGGUAUUGGUGUGCUGGAUAUCCCUUCACUGGUAGCCUGGUAACAUACACUCCCAGGUCUUUCUCUGCCUCUGUGGUGGAUAGUGGAGUGUUUCCCAUGUGGUAUUGGUGUGCUGGAUAUCCCUUCACUGGUAGCCUGGUAACAUACACUCCCAGGUCUUUCUCUGCCUCUGUGGUGGAUAGUGGAGUGUUUCCCAUGUGGUAUUGGUGUGCUGGAUAUCCCUUCACUGGUAGCCUGGUAACAUACACUCCCAGGUCUUUCUCUGCCUCUGUGGUGGAUAGUGGAGUGUUUCCCAUGUGGUAUUGGUGUGCUGGAUAUCCCCUCCCAAGAUGCAGGA
This is a long non-coding RNA of Eriocheir sinensis (Chinese mitten crab), 963 nucleotides long. RefSeq lists it as uncharacterized. The record is from RefSeq and is a predicted model, not a curated record. NCBI's taxonomy places the organism in Eukaryota, Metazoa, Arthropoda, Malacostraca, Decapoda, Varunidae. The transcript has 3 exons.